CAGUCGCCGCGGUAAUACGAAGGGUGCAAGCGUUAAUCGGAAUUACUGGGCGUAAAGCGUGCGUAGGCGGUUUGUUAAGUCUGUUGUGAAAUCCCCGGGCUCAACCUGGGAACGGCAAUGGAUACUGGCAAGCUAGAGUGUGUCAGAGGACGGUGGAAUUCCCGGUGUAGCGGUGAAAUGCGUAGAGAUCGGGAGGAACAUCAGUGGCGAAGGCGGCCAUCUGGGACAACACUGACGCUGAGGCACGAAAGCGUGGGGAGCAAACAGGAUUAGAUACCCCCGUAGUCCCUGUCUCUUAUAC
This 301-nucleotide ribosomal RNA is filed under the name uncultured bacterium. RNAcentral's name for it is "partial 16S ribosomal RNA". It matches the Rfam family "Bacterial small subunit ribosomal RNA", at positions 509 to 807 of the family's 1533-position model. The record is from RNAcentral.